Molecule: long non-coding RNA, 708 nt
Organism: Homo sapiens (human)
Lineage: Eukaryota; Metazoa; Chordata; Mammalia; Primates; Hominidae
Product: MIR4435-2 host gene
Source: Ensembl
CAGACAGAGCCUUCCUAAAAGCUGAAACACACGCACAGAAUGAGAAGUCCCUGCGGGAGCAAGCUCACUGUGGCUCUGCCGACUUCCAGUUCUGGAACAAGAUGGUUAAACUCAUUUUUCCCUGCUCUGCUCCUCUAAAUACAACUAAGUACCUUGGAAACUAUUCAGCAGACAAUGAUAAAGGGCUCUGAAAGCUAGAAGAAAAGGUGUACUUGCAAGAAACCUCAGGACUUGAGUAACAGCAACAUGGAGCCACACCGGUGAGGGCAGGGAGAGGGUGCUGGUUCUGAGCCAACUUUGCAUGGAAGGCCCAGCAGACCACGCUCAUUACUUACAGCCAGCAUCAUCGGGGAACUCCGGCACAGACCUGUAGUCAGUGCCCCACAGCGCCCCAGCCUUCUCUCCCGACAGGAGCGGCCAGGACAGGGAGCAGAAGGUGACUGCUGUGCUGCCUGGAGCUCUUCUGUCCGGAGGUUUAGUGAAACUAGAGAAACUCAGUGGACACACUACAAGACUUCAGAGAUACUUUUUGUAAACCCAGGAAGAAUCAAAGAUAUGAAACAUGCAGUAGGCACUCACUAAAUGUUAAUUUUCUUCCUUUUUAAAUAUUUGCAUUAUGAUAGUUAAAUUAAUGACUGCACGACUGGAAGAAUACACACUCUAAUGAUUCUUUUCCCUAAAAUAAAUGUGUCCACUAUUUGCUGUCUA